GACGAACGCUGGCGGCGUGCUUAACACAUGCAAGUCGAACGGAAAGGCCCUGCUUUUGUGGGGUGCUCGAGUGGCGAACGGGUGAGUAACACGUGAGUAACCUGCCCUUGACUUUGGGAUAACUUCAGGAAACUGGGGCUAAUACCGGAUAGGAGCUCCUGCUUCAGGGUGGGGGUUGGAAAGUUUCGGCGGUUGGGGAUGGACUCGCGGCUUAUCAGCUUGUUGGUGGGGUAGUGGCUUACCAAGGCUUUGACGGGUAGCCGGCCUGAGAGGGUGACCGGCCACAUUGGGACUGAGAUACGGCCCAGACUCCUACGGGAGGCAGCAGUGGGGAAUAUUGCACAAUGGGCGGAAGCCUGAUGCAGCAACGCCGCGUGCGGGAUGACGGCCUUCGGGUUGUAAACCGCUUUCGCCUGUGACGAAGCGUGAGUGACGGUAAUGGGUAAAGAAGCACCGGCUAACUACGUG
RNAcentral lists this ribosomal RNA (468 nucleotides) under uncultured bacterium. RNAcentral describes it as "partial 16S ribosomal RNA". It matches the Rfam family "Bacterial small subunit ribosomal RNA", at positions 28 to 507 of the family's 1533-position model. The record is from RNAcentral.